UGGGGAAUCUUGCACAAUGGGGGAAACCCUGAUGCAGCGACGCCGCGUGAGCGAUGAAGCCCUUCGGGGUGUAAAGCUCUUUCGACAGGAACGAUAAUGACGGUACCUGGAGAAGAAGCUGCGGCUAACUACGUGCCAGCAGCCGCGGUAAUACGUAGGCAGCAAGCGUUGUUCGGAGUUACUGGGCGUAAAGAGUGCGUAGGCGGUGCCCUAAGUCUGUUGUGAAAUCUCCCGGCUUAACUGGGAGGGUGCGGUGGAAACUGGGGUGCUUGAGUGUGGGAGAGGUAAGCGGAAUUCCUGGUGUAGCGGUGAAAUGCGUAGAUAUCAGGAGGAACACCGGCGGUGUAGACGGCUUACUGGACCACGACUGACGCUGAGGCACGAAAGCGUGGGUAGCAAACAGGAUUAGAUACCCCCGUAGUCC
Molecule: ribosomal RNA, 424 nt
Filed under: uncultured bacterium
Lineage: Bacteria
Description: bacterial SSU rRNA
Rfam family: Bacterial small subunit ribosomal RNA
Source: RNAcentral